RNAcentral lists this transfer RNA (76 nucleotides) under Saprospirales bacterium. Its description in RNAcentral is "tRNA-Thr". It matches the Rfam family "tRNA". Rfam says of the family: Transfer RNA (tRNA) molecules are approximately 80 nucleotides in length. Lineage: Bacteria; Pseudomonadati; Bacteroidota; Saprospiria; Saprospirales. The record is from RNAcentral.
GCCACCCUAGCUCAGUUGGUAGAGCGACGCAUUCGUAAUGCGUAGGUCGAGAGUUCGAGUCUCUUGGGUGGCUCCA